CUGCUGCCUUCCGUAGGAGUUUGGGCCGUGUCUCAGUCCCAAUGUGGCCGGUCACCCUCUCAGGUCGGCUACUGAUCGUCGCCUUGGUGGGCUGUUAUCUCACCAACUAGCUAAUCAGAUGCGGGCCCAUCUUUUACCGAAUAUUUCCUUUCCUUCUCGGAAGAUGCCUUCCAAGAAUAUUAUGCGGUAUUAGUCACCGUUUCCAGUGAUUAUUCCCCCAGUAAAAGGCAGGUUGCCCACACGUUACUCACCCGUCCGCCGCUAAAA
This 267-nucleotide ribosomal RNA is filed under the name uncultured bacterium. RNAcentral describes it as "partial 16S ribosomal RNA". The record is from RNAcentral.